CUACGUCAUUUAGAGGAAGUAAAAAGUCGUAACAAGGUUUCCGAACAAGUCACGGAACGGGAGUGAUUCCUUCCGCGGUGAACACUUAUCGAAGCCUUGGAAUGCGGCCUCGCAAGAGGUAAGCCUGGCGACUCUUAAACAAUUCAGGCCUCGCGCAAGUCGGCACCCGGUGGGGGCCGGCGACACUUUCGAAUUGCGGGGACAUCCUUAGAGCUCAGGCCUACCAAACCGGAGGGGAAACCCGCCGGCGGCCCGUGUUAACAGCACGGGGUACGGUAACAAGGGCCCGAGAUUGGACAAUCCGCAGCCAAGUCCCUAAGGGCGGCGCCCGCCGCCUACGGGAAAGGUUCACAGACUAAGUGGAAGUGGGUAGGGGCCCGGACGGGCCCCCGCUUAAGAUAUAGUCGGGCCCCGAGGGAAACCUCGGGGGGAAGUUCAUCGCUUCAGAGCCGUUCCGUAGGUGAACCUGCGGAAGGAUCAUUA
RNAcentral lists this non-coding RNA (483 nucleotides) under Kellermania agaves. RNAcentral's name for it is "partial 18S ribosomal RNA". The stretch from base 124 to 428 matches the Rfam family "Group I catalytic intron". From Rfam's summary of the family: Group I catalytic introns are large self-splicing ribozymes. They catalyse their own excision from mRNA, tRNA and rRNA precursors in a wide range of organisms. The record is from RNAcentral. Lineage: Eukaryota; Fungi; Ascomycota; Dothideomycetes; Botryosphaeriales; Planistromellaceae.